UAAACGAUGUCUACUUGGAGGUUGUGCCCUUGAGGCGUGGCUUCCGGAGCUAACGCGUUAAGUAGACCGCCUGGGGAGUACGGCCGCAAGGUUAAAACUCAAAUGAAUUGACGGGGGCCCGCACAAGCGGUGGAGCAUGUGGUUUAAUUCGAUGCAACGCGAAGAACCUUACCUGGUCUUGACAUCCACAGAAGAAUCCAGAGAUGGAUUUGUGCCUUCGGGAACUGUGAGACAGGUGCUGCAUGGCUGUCGUCAGCUCGUGUUGUGAAAUGUUGGGUUAAGUCCCGCAACGAGCGCAACCCUUAUCCUUUGUUGCCAGCGGUUAGGCCGGGAACUCAAAGGAGACUGCCAGUGAUAAACUGGAGGAAGGUGGGGAUGACGUCAAGUCAUCAUGGCCCUUACGACCAGGGCUACACACGUGCUACAAUGGCGCAUACAAAGAGAAGCGACCUCGCGAGAGCAAGCGGACCUCAUAAAGUGCGUCGUAGUCCGGAUUGGAGUCUGCAACUCGACUCCAUGAAGUCGGAAUCGCUAGUAAUCGUGGAUCAGAAUGCCACGGUGAAUACGUUCCCGGGCCUUGUACACACCGCCCGUCACACCAUGGGAGUGGGUUGCAAAAGAAGUAGGUAGCUUAACCUUCGGGAGGGCGCUUACCACUUUGUGAUUCAUGACUGGGGUGAAGUCGUAACAAGGUAACCGUAGGGGAACCUGCGGUUGGA
This 719-nucleotide ribosomal RNA is filed under the name Salmonella enterica. RNAcentral describes it as "bacterial SSU rRNA". It matches the Rfam family "Bacterial small subunit ribosomal RNA", at positions 803 to 1522 of the family's 1533-position model. Lineage: Bacteria; Pseudomonadati; Pseudomonadota; Gammaproteobacteria; Enterobacterales; Enterobacteriaceae. The record is from RNAcentral.